This 468-nucleotide ribosomal RNA is filed under the name uncultured bacterium. Its description in RNAcentral is "partial 16S ribosomal RNA". It matches the Rfam family "Bacterial small subunit ribosomal RNA", at positions 28 to 507 of the family's 1533-position model. The record is from RNAcentral.
GACGAACGCUGGCGGCGUGCUUAACACAUGCAAGUCGAACGGAAAGGCCCUGCUUUUGUGGGGUGCUCGAGUGGCGAACGGGUGAGUAACACGUGAGUAACCUGCCCUUGACUUUGGGAUAACUUCAGGAAACUGGGGCUAAUACCGGAUAGGAGCUCCUGCUGCAUGGUGGGGGUUGGAAAGUUUCGGCGGUUGGGGAUGGACUCGCGGCUUAUCAGCUUGUUGGUGGGGUAGUGGCUUACCAAGGCUUUGACGGGUAGCCGGCCUGAGAGGGUGACCGGCCACAUUGGGACUGAGAUACGGCCCAGACUCCUACGGGAGGCAGCAGUGGGGAAUAUUGCACAAUGGGCGGAAGCCUGAUGCAGCAACGCCGCGUGCGGGAUGACGGCCUUCGGGUUGUAAACCGCUUUCGCCUGUGACGAAACGUGAGUGACGGUAAUGGGUAAAGAAGCACCGGCUAACUACGUG